AAAUUGAAGAGUUUGAUCAUGGCUCAGAUUGAACGCUGGCGGCAGGCCUAACACAUGCAAGUCGAACGGUAACAGGAAACAGCUUGCUGUUUCGCUGACGAGUGGCGGACGGGUGAGUAAUGUCUGGGAAACUGCCUGAUGGAGGGGGAUAACUACUGGAAACGGUAGCUAAUACCGCAUAACGUCGCAAGACCAAAGAGGGGGACCUUCGGGCCUCUUGCCAUCGGAUGUGCCCAGAUGGGAUUAGCUAGUAGGUGGGGUAACGGCUCACCUAGGCGACGAUCCCUAGCU
RNAcentral lists this ribosomal RNA (291 nucleotides) under Escherichia coli. Its description in RNAcentral is "partial 16S ribosomal RNA". It matches the Rfam family "Bacterial small subunit ribosomal RNA", at positions 1 to 288 of the family's 1533-position model. Lineage: Bacteria; Pseudomonadati; Pseudomonadota; Gammaproteobacteria; Enterobacterales; Enterobacteriaceae. The record is from RNAcentral.